Long non-coding RNA from Callithrix jacchus (white-tufted-ear marmoset), 936 nucleotides. RefSeq lists it as uncharacterized. The record is from RefSeq and is a predicted model, not a curated record. NCBI's taxonomy places the organism in Eukaryota, Metazoa, Chordata, Mammalia, Primates, Cebidae.
CAGGUGCAGCAUGGAGUCUGAGGUCUGGGCCUGGGCUCAGCCUGUUUCAGCUGCUGCGCAGUUGCUUUCUGCAGAGGGGACGCGUCCCCCCCUCCACCCACGAGUGCGUUCGCAUGCGGGGCACUGCUCCCGGCUGAGACCAGGGUUUGGCUCUGUGUCUCAUUCCCAGCUCUCAGCUGCUGCGCCUUAGUGGUGUUCCCAUUCCUCCCUCACGGCAGCGGCCCUGUGGUUUCAGGGGAGAGCGGGGGACCCGUCCCUGGGGACGGACUCCUGCUUGCUCCCAAGGGGCAUCUUGGCAGGGCGGACGUUGGAAGCUGAACACAGAGGAAGCAUCUGGAAGCGGAGCUCUUGGCCUCAGCCCUCCUGUCCUGGAUGCUGAUGGGAGUUCAUGCUGGGAAAUCCUCUCUGGUGGUCUGGGGAUGCUGAGCCGCUGAGGAUGUCUUUGUGGAGGUGUAGCAUUUGUCAAGAAGGAGGCAGAGAAGCUUGCGGAGGAGUGAGCUCAGGGAGGAAUUCAUGCCAGGAAGACGUGGCCUCAAGGUGGACGCCUUCCUCUCCUGCCUGGGAAUAGACAGGGCUGCACUGAGCUCGCAGGACAGUGGGGCUCAGCCUUGGCUGAUGGAGUCAUGAGAAGUCCCAAUUCCAGUUCUGAUGAUCUGUCCCGGGGUGUCAAGUCUCCAGAGUCCAGCUGCACAGCUCCAUCCCAGCCAGUGCUUGUGGCAGCCUCUCCAAGUCUUUGCCUGCCACUCUCGUCCCUGCGGUGAGCUGAUCACGGUGCACAACAUGGCGCCUGGCACAUGGAUGCAGAUGUGAAGACAGCCAAAGGGGAGACAUUUACGUCGUUCAUAAAAUCGUUCGAAGAUAGUCCCGGAAUGUCCAUCCGGUGCCCGAAGUUUGCUGCCUGGGAUAUAAAUAAUAAAUACAACGAUUAAGUUCAAA